CACGUAGGCGGACCGGAAAGUUGGGGGUGAAAUCCCGGGGCUCAACCCCGGAACUGCCUUCAAAACUAUCGGUCUGGAGUUCGAGAGAGGUGAGUGGAAUUCCGAGUGUAGAGGUGAAAUUCGUAGAUAUUCGGAGGAACACCAGUGGCGAAGGCGGCUCACUGGCUCGAUACUGACGCUGAGGUGCGAAAGCGUGGGGAGCAAACA
This 207-nucleotide ribosomal RNA is filed under the name uncultured bacterium. RNAcentral describes it as "partial 16S ribosomal RNA". It matches the Rfam family "Bacterial small subunit ribosomal RNA", at positions 568 to 774 of the family's 1533-position model. The record is from RNAcentral.